AUAAAACUAAUCCAAAUGAACUGAGCGGUUUAGUCCAAAUUUUCUGAAGAGACUAGAUCGCUUUAUAUGAUGAACAAAUUAAAUUACAAUGAGGUUCAUUCUUGUGUGUUACGCAGCACGUUUGAGUUACAGCAAGAACCAAUGAGGUUUGUUCUUGCGCGUCAAGCAGGUUCGGUUGAGCGUCUGUUUAUUUUCGCUGCUCAAUGUUUAUAAGUGAAUAAAAGCCUAAAUUAAAUCUGUUUAUUAUAUAAAGUAAUCAAGUCUCUUCAGAAAAUUUACACUAAACCUCUCAAUUCAUAUGGAUUACUUUUACGAUCUCUUUAUGAACUUUUUGAAGCGUAGAUGUCAAUGGAGGGACAGAAAUCGCACAAACUUUAUUAAAAAUUAUGGAGCCCCGGACAUAGGGUUGGGUAUCAAGAACUGGUUCCAUUUUAGAACCGGUUCCAAAUUUCAAAGAACCGGGGAUUCGAUAUGAUGAUGCGCAUUUCGAUUCUGUUUAUCGAUUCCUGUCAUUCACACACGGCGAACGGCAGUGAGCAUUUUACAGUUGUAUCUGCCAGGACCUGUGACAAGGACCUUAUCUCAUUACGCACAUGCGCAGUUCAUUACAAUCGGCACUGACUGACCGCAGGAAACGUUCGAAAGUUUGGUUAAACUUUGUGAAAAAGGAUGAUUGCAUUGCCAAAUGCAAUACAUGUAGUAAAGACAUUUCGUGUAAGGGAGGAAGUACGUCUAAUAUGAUGGAACAUUUGCUUCAACAUGGUAUCAAUCUGAGGGAAUGCACCGUGUUUAAUUCUCCCAGCCGCGAGUCCUGUUACAACUCACCAGACACAGCUAAUAGCAAUAGCAGCGUCUCACACUCAGAGACUCCUUUCACUGUAGCCAUGAAGGGCAAGAUGAGCAAGGAGAAAGUGGAUGAAUGUCACAGGGUGCCAGGCUUCGUCCUAGACCUUCCAUUCACCAAAGAUCCUCUGAAUCCAACUGGUUCUCUUUCAUCAAGACAAUAUCAGCAAAGAUUUCAUCAGGACAGUUUUAAUUCAAAUGAGCGAGACAUGCAAGUAUCAAACUUAGUCUCAUUAUUUGAUACAUUAAGUAUCCUUACCUCUUUUAAAGAAGGGCCUGUUAAAACUAAACUGAUAGUUUGCUCAAGGCUGUUGAUCUGCUGAAUUUCAAACAAUGCUGUAACUUCUUGCUUUCCUGUACUCUGCUUCAGCUCUCUCUUUCUUUUGGUAAACUAUGCAUGUAUGUGUGUGAAUGUUAGAGUAGUUAAGUGUUUAGUCCAGUUAAUAAAGUCUUGUUCAUGUCACA
This is a long non-coding RNA of Ctenopharyngodon idella (grass carp), 1308 nucleotides long. RefSeq lists it as uncharacterized. Lineage: Eukaryota; Metazoa; Chordata; Actinopteri; Cypriniformes; Xenocyprididae. The record is from RefSeq and is a predicted model, not a curated record. The transcript is spliced from 2 exons.